Molecule: ribosomal RNA, 429 nt
Filed under: Bacteroidota bacterium
Lineage: Bacteria; Pseudomonadati; Bacteroidota
Description: Bacteroidetes bacterium partial 16S ribosomal RNA
Rfam family: Bacterial small subunit ribosomal RNA
Source: RNAcentral
UAGGGAAUCUUCCGCAAUGGACGCAAGUCUGACGGAGCAACGCCGCGUGAGUGAAGAAGGAUUUCGGUUCGUAAAACUCUGUUGUUAGAGAAGAACAGCGCAUAGAGUAACUGUUAUGCGUGUGACGGUAUCUAACCAGAAAGCCACGGCUAACUACGUGCCAGCAGCCGCGGUAAUACGUAGGUGGCAAGCGUUGUCCGGAUUUAUUGGGCGUAAAGCGAGCGCAGGCGGUCAAUUAAGUCUGAUGUGAAAGCCCCCGGCUCAACCGGGGAGGGUCAUUUGAAACUGGUUGACUUGAGUGCAGAAGAGGAGAGUGGAAUUCCAUGUGUAGCGUUGAAAUGCGUAGAUAUAUGGAGGCACACCAGUGGCGAAGGCGACUCUCUGGUCUGUACCUGACGCUGAGGCUCGAAAGCGUGGGUAGCAAACAGG